This 231-nucleotide ribosomal RNA is filed under the name uncultured Staphylococcus sp. Its description in RNAcentral is "partial 16S ribosomal RNA". It matches the Rfam family "Bacterial small subunit ribosomal RNA", at positions 109 to 334 of the family's 1533-position model. The record is from RNAcentral. Lineage: Bacteria; Bacillati; Bacillota; Bacilli; Caryophanales; Staphylococcaceae.
AGUAACACGUGGAUAACCUACCUAUAAGACUGGGAUAACUUCGGGAAACCGGAGCUAAUACCGGAUAAUAUUUUGAACCGCAUGGUUCAAAAGUGAAAGACGGUCUUGCUGUCACUUAUAGAUGGAUCCGCGCUGCAUUAGCUAGUUGGUAAGGUAACGGCUUACCAAGGCAACGAUGCAUAGCCGACCUGAGAGAGUGAUCGGCCACACUGGAACUGAGACACGGUCCAG